This 389-nucleotide ribosomal RNA is filed under the name uncultured bacterium. RNAcentral describes it as "bacterial SSU rRNA". It matches the Rfam family "Bacterial small subunit ribosomal RNA", at positions 28 to 419 of the family's 1533-position model. The record is from RNAcentral.
GACGAACGCUGGCGGCGUGCUUAACACAUGCAAGUCGAGCGGUAAGGCCCUUUCGGGGGUACACGAGCGGCGAACGGGUGAGUAACACGUGGGUGACCUGCCCUCAGCUCUGGGAUAAGCCCGGGAAACUGGGUCUAAUACCGGAUAUGACUCCAUGACGCAUGUUGUGGGGUGGAAAGCCUUGUGCGGCUGAGGAUGGGCCCGCGGCCUAUCAGCUUGUUAGUGGGGUGAUGGCCACCAAGGCGACGACGGGUAGCCGGCCUGAGAGGGCGACCGGCCACACUGGGACUGAGAUACGGCCCAGACUCCUACGGGAGGCAGCAGUGGGGAAUCUUGCGCAAUGGGCGAAAGCCUGACGCAGCGACGCCGCGUGAGGGAUGACGGCCUGG